UCGGCUGUGAAAUGCUUUUCAUUGGAUGAUAAUCCACCACCAGAAGAGGUAGUUUUCGGAGGUAAACGCACAGAGUGGCCAGACGGUAUGGCAUAUGAGGGUAGAUAAUUAAAAAUAUUUACAAAAUUCUAUGCCAUGGAUUUACAAAUAUAAAUUAAUAUUUAUUUUUUAAUAGAGAUCACAACAUUCAACGAUACAACAUACAAAGAGAAUGAUUUAUUUCUGAAAAAUGUUGUAUUCGGCGGUAAUGUAUUAUAACAAAUUCUCAGGUGGUUUUUCAAGAAAGUACUAUAGUUAAAUACUUUCUUUUAUAUUAUGGUAAAGAUUUAAAAGUUGGAAUUUAUGGAGAGAAUUUUAUCCAAAUAUCAGAGGUACCAUAUUUGGAAUUUUGUUAAUACGCCCAAGUUCUCGAUGAUGGAAGUCAAGUAUGUGGUGGAUCCAUUAUCUCUGAAAUAUGGAUAUUAACCGCUGCCCACUGCUUUGAAAAGCAUGGUAAAUAUCGAUAAUAACAGGAUCAACAGCAAGAGGAAAGGAAGGGCAGCGUCACGAAGUCGAGAAAAUCAUAGUGCAUAAAGAAUACAAUGAGACUAUGGACAAUUACAUUGCUUUACUUCAACUUAGAAAACCUAUACAGUUGAAUUAAAUGCAGAAAAAAAUUGAAAUUUCGACGAAACCUCCUAAUGCUAACGAAAAAUUAAAAGUUACUGGAUUCGGAAAAGAAGGAGAUAAGUUGCCAAGUCCUAAAACUCUAAAAGCAGCUAUCAUGAUUGUUGAAUAAAUAUUUUGAUACAUCUAUAGACAUAUAAAUGUAAAAUAACAUUUUUCUUGUAAAAAUUAGAUCACUAAAUAAGUUACGUGUAUAAAUGAUUCUAACGAGAUAAAUAAAUAAAAUUAUUCAAAAUA
RNAcentral lists this long non-coding RNA (903 nucleotides) under Nasonia vitripennis (jewel wasp). RNAcentral's name for it is "uncharacterized LOC116738478, transcript variant X3". The record is from RNAcentral. Lineage: Eukaryota; Metazoa; Arthropoda; Insecta; Hymenoptera; Pteromalidae.